GGGGGCGACUGGAUUCGACACGAUAGGUCCGAGGGUAGCAGCAGGCCGAGGUCCCCUCGCCUCGUUAAACAGGGGGAAAGACGCCUAAGCGUCGACACUAAUUACGCUCUCGCUGCUUAAUAAGUAGCGACGUCGUCCGAUGAGCGUCCCCGUCAUCGGGUACGACGUCACUCAGGGGACUUGCGCGACGGAUGUGGGCUGUAUGCCGUGAGCG
This 214-nucleotide transfer-messenger RNA is filed under the name Actinomycetota bacterium. Its description in RNAcentral is "partial transfer-messenger RNA". It matches the Rfam family "transfer-messenger RNA", at positions 1 to 232 of the family's 374-position model. From Rfam's summary of the family: Bacterial tmRNA, also known as 10Sa RNA or SsrA, is named for its dual tRNA and mRNA-like properties. Lineage: Bacteria; Bacillati; Actinomycetota. The record is from RNAcentral.